CCUACGGGGGGCAGCAGUGAGGAAUAUUGGUCAAUGGACGAGAGUCUGAACCAGCCAAGUCGCGUGAAGGAUGACUGUUCUAUGGGUUGUAAACUUCUUUUAUAAAGGAAUAAAACGAGGCACGUGUGCCUUUUUGCAUGUACCUUAUGAAUAAGGAUCGGCUAACUCCGUGCCAGCAGCCGCGGUAAUACGGAGGAUCCGAGCGUUAUCCGGAUUUAUUGGGUUUAAAGGGAGCGUAGGUGGGUUGUUAAGUCAGGUGUGAAAGUUUGGGGCUCAACCGUAAAAUUGCAAUUGAUACUGGCAGUCUUGAGUGCAGUUGAGGUAGGCGGAAUUCGUGGUGUAGCGGUGAAAUGCUUAGAUAUCACGAAGAACCCCGAUUGCGAAGGCAGCUUACUAAACUGUGACUGACGUUGAUGCUCGAAAGUGUGGGGAUCAAACAGGAUUAGAUACCCGUGUAGUC
This 460-nucleotide ribosomal RNA is filed under the name uncultured bacterium. RNAcentral's name for it is "partial 16S ribosomal RNA". It matches the Rfam family "Bacterial small subunit ribosomal RNA", at positions 338 to 795 of the family's 1533-position model. The record is from RNAcentral.